UUCACUCAGUGUAGCUCUGCUUUGCUCAGCAGCACUCACUUCGCCUUGUGCUUCUUAAUCAAAACUGGCACCAUGGCAAUUACCUAAUUAGACAUCAAUUAAUCCACACCCUUCAGGUCUGCAGCCAAGUUUGACCUGAGGAGUAAUGACAAAAAUGCCUUCGAAGAACGGAGAAAUCAGAUUAAUGGACGCUCAACGGCAGAGUUGCGCUGCAUUUGAGAAAUCUGGAGAAAUAUACUGCACUUCAUUUCAUAAUUAACAGUAACACCCCGGUGACUAUUCCUGUUACAGAAGAAACCAACACUGAAGUUCAUAUGGAGCACAGACGAUGACCCCCGGCAGCUUAACGGAAACUUUACCAAAGCACACAAAGCUCCACAACGCAGAAAACCUAUUCAGGUUGCCAGUUUGCCACGCUCCCCAGCCGCGGUCCGCCAAAGUCUGGUCGGCUUCCACUAGGAGGCAACUGGUGCCACCAGCUCCGCUUUGAAGUUCAAAUUACUGGCCUCAGGGAUCCAGUUUAUGAGAAAACACCUGAAUACUCAAAUCCACCAAAUCACACGGACAUCAUCACAGCAUCACUCUGAAACACUGUCCAUUGUUCGGCCUGCUACUUGCAGCGGGAAUGGCAACUGAAAAAGCAGCAAUGGUCAGUUCAGCCAAAGAAAGGAGGGAAAAAGGAAAAGAAGUCCGUGUUUGAAAAGCCUGGCAUCCUUAUCUAAACGGGUGCCUCUACCUGCCAAAGAUGCUUUCAUACUCGAGCAGUAUGAGCUCCACUAUCUGGUUCUGGUAGACCAUGUGGACCGCAAUGUUGCCUGUCUCUGUCUCGGGCCGGAGCAGCGUGGGUCCAAACACGAUGGCCACGCUCUGUGUGGUCAUGCGGUUGGCCUCCCCAUGGUCAAUCACUCUGGGGAGAGGGAAGUAAAACAUGAGGACAUUUAAAGAUGCAAUGUGUCAUGAACAGCUUUAGGUGAGCCUGUGUUUGUUUGACAGUCCAGUGAUUUCAGUACAGCUUCAGGGUUUCAGCUAGUAAAACAACAUUCAAGUCUUUACACACAUCUUUAGGGCUUGAGAUCGAGGGCUGAGGCAAGCCUCACGACACACACUCUGUAACACUACUGAACGCUCCAGGCUAGAGCAUAAUAGCCUUUUUAAAUAGAAUCUACAUCCUUGCAUGCAGAUGCACAAAACAAUAACAUAUUCAUGGAAGGGAGAAAAAAAAGGAGAUUAAAUCCGCCCGCUGAUAUACGUAGACCUCCAUAUACUGAAUGUCACGCUAUAAAUUUCCUCAAGAAACACCACUUCGUAGGUACUGAAUUAUAGCAAACACAGAGCCAUAUAAAUGCAAAUUGGAAACCUAGGCAAAUGUCAUUGUGAACAUAUGAUAUUGCCACUGGCUCCAGUGGGCUAAGAAUACACGUUAAAGCUGGCUGUAGUUUGUGUUUGCCUACAGGCUGAUCAGUCUGAGGAAAGGUAAACACUGAGAGUCAAACAGGAGCUGGUAUAAAUAAGACAUCCUCAGUGCCAUUUCUGAUAUAAGUGCAUGAAACUUACUGAAGUCACUGAAUGGUUCAACAGUUAAUCUGAACAGUUAGACAUAUUUCCAUAUCAGAAGACUAGUCACAUCGUCCAAUUAAGGUCAAUAGAGCAAUCCAAGCAAGUAUAUAUUUGGUGGUGUGUGUGUGUGUGUGUGUGUGUGUGUGUGCGUGUGUGUGUGUGUGUGUGUGUGUGUGUGUUAGUUACUCUUGAUGUUUUUCACACCAUAUUUUCUCUGGUAUUAACUCACUUGGACGGUAGUAUUACCCAUUCUUAUUUAGAGAUUAAAUGGAUGUUUUGACUGAUCGAUAUAAUAUUUUAUGAUGAUGUGAUGGCAUUUUGCACGUUUGUGGACUAUAUCUAUAUAUGUACAGUAUAAUCUUAAAGGUUUUCUGGCAACUCUUGCUUGUUUGGGAUAUUUUAAAAUGUUCCACAUUACUGCCAACAGUAGUUUGGGAAGCAAACGUACUGGAACCCUUUUAUGCAUGUAAACAAAAUAAUGCUUGAUAAUAAAA
This is a long non-coding RNA of Micropterus dolomieu (smallmouth bass), 2051 nucleotides long. RefSeq lists it as uncharacterized. Lineage: Eukaryota; Metazoa; Chordata; Actinopteri; Centrarchiformes; Centrarchidae. The transcript has 4 exons. The record is from RefSeq and is a predicted model, not a curated record.